AGAACGAACGCUGGCGGCGUGGAUAAGACAUGCAAGUCGAACGGGCUUAAUUUUAGAGCAAUCUAGGGUUGAGCCAGUGGCGAACGGGUGCGUAACACGUGAGUCAUCUGCCUGAAAGUGGGGGAUAGCUCGCCGAAAGGCGAAUUAAUACCGCAUGUGGUUGUGAAACCAAAGCCGGGGCAACCUGGCGCUUUUAGAGGAGCUCGCGGCCUAUCAGCUUGUUGGUGAGGUAACGGCUUACCAAGGCAACGACGGGUAGCUGGUCUGAGAGGACGACCAGCCACACUGGAACUGAGACACGGUCCAGACACCUACGGGUGGCAGCAGUCGAGAAUUUUUCUCAAUGGGGGAAACCCUGAAGGAGCGACGCCGCGUGGAGGAUGAAGGCUUUCGGGUUGUAAACUCCUGUCAUUUGGGAACAAAGUCUUAACGUUAACUGCGUGGAGAUUUGAUUAGUACCGAAAGAGGAAGAGACGGCUAACUCUGUGCCAGCAGCCGC
This 499-nucleotide ribosomal RNA is filed under the name uncultured bacterium. Its description in RNAcentral is "SSU rRNA". It matches the Rfam family "Bacterial small subunit ribosomal RNA", at positions 26 to 518 of the family's 1533-position model. The record is from RNAcentral.